GGCAUGCACAGGCGAUGAAGGACGUGAUACGCUGCGAUAAGCGUCGGGGAGGUGCGAAUACCCUUUGAUCCGACGAUUUCCGAAUGGGGAAACCCACCUAAGAUACUUGUAAAAUCAGAGCGGCAGGGCGGACUUCGGUUCGGUUUGCCGCUGUGGUUUACAAGUAUCGAUAUUAGGUAACUUAUCCUGAAUACAUAGGGAUAAAGUGGCGAACGCAGGGAACUGAAACAUCUAAGUACCUGUAGGAAAGGACAUCAACCGAGACUCCGCAAGUAGUG
Molecule: ribosomal RNA, 278 nt
Filed under: Pseudaminobacter soli (ex Li et al. 2025)
Lineage: Bacteria; Pseudomonadati; Pseudomonadota; Alphaproteobacteria; Hyphomicrobiales; Phyllobacteriaceae
Description: Mesorhizobium soli Bacterial large subunit ribosomal RNA
Rfam family: Bacterial large subunit ribosomal RNA
Source: Rfam by way of RNAcentral